Betta splendens (Siamese fighting fish) is the source of this 575-nucleotide long non-coding RNA. RefSeq lists it as uncharacterized. The transcript is spliced from 3 exons. Lineage: Eukaryota; Metazoa; Chordata; Actinopteri; Anabantiformes; Osphronemidae. The record is from RefSeq and is a predicted model, not a curated record.
UUUACAUUCUUAGCACGUUCCACCGUGCGCGUGUGUCAGCGAGAGAGGGAGGCAGUCAAAAUCAAGCCGAUACUCCUUGUAGAAGUGUUUGCUGCGGUUUUCCCAGCAUGCACAAAUGCUCCCUCACUCACACAAACACUCGUCUCUCGUGGUGCUUAGUCAUGACAGAAGGAGGCAGAGGGAUCGCCAUGGAAACAGUACUUUGAGUCAACCAGUCAGAAAGCAGCUGUGCAUUCUUGUAGCAGCGGGGCAAGCCUGAAAAUGGACUUCCAAUGUUCCCUCAAGCAAGGCAGCGGGCUCCUGACUACAAGGCAGCCGAUCAUAUGGGAUCUUGAAGUGCACAGAUGUGUCAUGAGCGGGAUCAGUCCGGUCGGAGGAGGAGAAGCUGCAUGCUACUAGGCCUGUGGAACUCAUUACAAACUCAGCUGGCAAGCGAACGACAAAAGAAUCAAACUCUGGUCAUAAAAUGAUGCCGAGCGAGGAGGACAGGCUAAAAGAAACCAUUAUAAAGGAGGAAGAGGAGCCGAGGAUGGAUGUACUGAGUCAGCUGUCCUUUUACAGUGUGUGUGCAGUUG